This 189-nucleotide unclassified non-coding RNA is filed under the name uncultured Sarcodon. RNAcentral's name for it is "sequence contains ITS2". The record is from RNAcentral. Lineage: Eukaryota; Fungi; Basidiomycota; Agaricomycetes; Thelephorales; Thelephoraceae.
AGUCGUCAACUGCCCUUGGGGGGUGAAGUUGGAUUUUGGAGUGUUUUGCUAGGCUUUUGUUUCUGGCUGCUCCUAAAAGCAUUCCGAGGCUUCAGAUCUUGGUGUUAAGUAUCCUUGACGUGAUAAUGAUCUACGUCGCGGAGAAAGCCUUGAGAAAGGAGCUCGUAAUAAGAAAAUUGAUUGAUCCUU